This 443-nucleotide ribosomal RNA is filed under the name uncultured bacterium. RNAcentral's name for it is "partial 16S ribosomal RNA". It matches the Rfam family "Bacterial small subunit ribosomal RNA", at positions 338 to 795 of the family's 1533-position model. The record is from RNAcentral.
CCUACGGGCGGCAGCAGUGGGGAAUAUUGGGCAAUGGGCGCAAGCCUGACCCAGCAACGCCGCGUGAAGGAAGAAGGCUUUCGGGUUGUAAACUUCUUUUCUCAGGGACGAAGCAAGUGACGGUACCUGAGGAAUAAGCCACGGCUAACUACGUGCCAGCAGCCGCGGCAAUACGUAGGUGGCAAGCGUUAUCCGGAUUUACUGGGUGUAAAGGGCGUGUAGGCGGGACUGCAAGUCAGAUGUGAAAAUCACGGGCUCAACCUUUGGCCUGCCUUUGAAACUGUAGUUCUUGAGUACUGGGGAGGCAGACGGAAUUCCUAGUGGAGCGGUGAAAUGCGUAGAUAUUAGGAGGAACACCAGUGGCGAAGGCGGUUUGCUGGACAACAACUGACGCUGAGGCGCGAAAGCGUGGGGAGCAAACAGGAUUAGAUACCCUGGUAGUC